CCACCACCUGUUCAGCAUCUGCAGGUGAAAGAAACAGCAGAUCAUCCUCCAGCCAGGCUCUGCCGCUAGGAGAUCAGCCCUUCAGAGUGGAUCUCCUCACCUCUAACGUAAAAAUAUAGCAGAACUGGAGGAUCAGGCAGAGACAGCUGGACAGGAAUGUGUGAGUUAAUGGGCAGCAAUUCAAAGUUCAUUUCUAGCGAAGGACAGAAGGGAGCGAUUGGACUUUGCACAGAAGGUGGGUAGUUUGUUUGUUUUCACUUAGGAUUGGCGCUUCCUAAAUACUAAAAUCACUUUGCCAUGUGAGAAGACAUCUGGGAAUACAGAUCCAAAAGAAAAUCAAAACCAGUGCAUUCCAACCGAGAGCGUUAUGGAAACCAGCCUUUGGUGAACUUGACAACCACUGAGAAUUCGUCUCCUGAAGCUGGGGGGAGGCUGGAUCCCAAAUGACUCUGCCUGAAUAAACAACCUUCUCCACCAUCGAAGAUAUCAGGGAAAAAAAAAAGAUUUAUAUGACACAUUUAGGCUUGAUAUUGCAAAUCCCCUCUUCAAUGAACUAAAUUCCAAACCCUGUUAAUCAUUUGUGUAGGGUGUAUAUUUGGAUGUGACGUAGCUACAAUUAGGCAUAAUUAAAGCCACCCACUUAGAGCAUGCUGAAAGACCAGGAUUUAAAAAUAGGAGCUGAGUAAUUAGGAUCAUUAAUAGGAACUGAUUGUUUAGUUUGUGAUAGCUCAAAAUAAAUAGGUAUCAGCAGUUUUCUGUUUCCCAUGAAAACACACAGAGCAGAGCCCAGUUUCCUUAGAGGGAACCCUGAAAACCCCUCCGGGUGGCUCUUGCUCCUCAUUUCCCUUUUAUUUGAUGGUGGCUGGUUCAGAACAUUGGUGUUAGGCUGCUGAGAGUCCAUGCGGCUGUUUGUGGGUGUUGGAGGAAAAUGCUCCACCCUGGCAGAGCAAGCCCUUGGGUUCAGCCUCCAGUCCCCCUGCCUGAACAUAGUAGGCGGUGGCCCUCCUGGGGCAGAGGCCUCCUGCAGCUAAUUCUUCGUCAUCUCUAGUCCUGUGGUUACUGCAUGGAUUUUUCUGAGGCCACAGUGAAUCUAUUGAUGCAAUUCCUGGCUCACCCACAGCCUAUUACUACCUGCCCUUAAAUAAACAGCUUAUAUACACAUGCUGCCACUGUUUGGGAUGCUUCACAUGCUUCUGCCUUCCUGGUGGGCUUCAGGGCACCCAGUGGCACAUGCACUGAGACAGUGGCAACUUUCACAACAAGGAGAUGGCUGGCCUUGGCCCACAAAGCCACCUCAGGAGUGAGAAAUCCAGAUCUGGUGCCAGGUGGCGAUGGGGGUGGGCUGGGGACAGGGUGGGAAAGUCAGAGGCUGGAUUCUGGAAUGCAUUGCCUAGUUAGAAGCCAGUGGAAAAAGGAGAUUUUUUCCUGGCCAUGAUUUUUUUUUUUUCUUAGUCUUGAGAUGGAUUUUAUUCACAGGAAUCUAGAGUGUGUAUGUGUCUUCUUAGGCAACUAACCACAUGAGAGGCUAAGCUCCUAUCCCUUCAUUUUAUUUUAUUUCAUUUUUGCAGUGCUGGGGAUCAAAUCCAGGGCCUCACAUGCUAGGCAAGUGCUCUACCACAGAGCUACACCCCCGCCCUUCCUGCCCUUCAUGGUGGGAAUCAUUGUUGUCCAGUGAUGAGCAGGUUUGCUCUGAAGUAUGAGAUGGUGCCUGACUUAGCCGCAUGGGUUGAAGCCCUCCUCCCGUGGUCUAACAGGCCAUCCCUGGCCUCUCUGGAAGGUCUGUGAUGUCCAGGGAGCUACAGUUCAACCUAAUGACAUAGUGUAACAUGUGGAAUUAAUUUUCCUGCAACUUUUUCAGGGGAGAGUGAAAUGGUUCAGGUUAGGUUGAGAUUCACAAGAAAAGGAUGCGAUCUGUAAGUGAAUCAAACAGGGCUUGUGCCUGGUAUGGCCAGAAGGAGAUCCCCCUGAGAGUGAUGUGGCGCGGGUUCUCAGCCUCGCUGUCCUGACACAUGAGUGUUACUGACUUUCUUCCUCAUGGGAACUGCCCUGUGCAGGAUGUUUGGCAGCGUCCCAGCCUUCACCCACUCAGGCCAGUGGCGUCCCCUCCCGCCCUCACCCUCAGUGUGACAAUCAAAGAUGUUUCUGGACAUUUUCAAAUGUCCCCUAGGGUUGGGGGCUCCUUCCCCCCCCCGUGAAGAACCUCUACCAUAACAUGGUCCACCAGAGUGGGGAAAUGAGCUUCACCCUUCUCAAAAUUUGUUCUUGGGGUGUGCAGGGAAUCACUGGAUUUCAAGAUUAUUUAUACUCUGAGAGAAGUCUUUGUUAAACACGGGUUUUUCAUGUUUUGGGUUUUCUUUCUGGUUUAUUUCCCCAAAUAUUAAGAUUUAGGAAUUCAAUUACAGAUGAGCUUUUCUCUCAUACUAUGUAAGGUAUCCAACUUCAACUGACUCAAGAUAAAAAUACAAAAUUCUACCA
RNAcentral lists this long non-coding RNA (2475 nucleotides) under Marmota monax (woodchuck). Lineage: Eukaryota; Metazoa; Chordata; Mammalia; Rodentia; Sciuridae. The record is from RNAcentral.